AGGUAAGCCAUCAUCUCCUCGUGCUGACUCUCCUGGCGGCUCUCAAGACGCUCAAUCCUCUGUACGAGAUGCUCAAACUGAGAGGUGAAGCCGACCUGAUACUGAUCGAGAUGUUCUUCUAUAGAGUAGAAGCGGGAGUCAUGGACUAGGGCAAGCUCCUCCAUACGAGUCCCAAGAGAGCUGAUCUGCGCGGAGAGAUCCAUCCAAGGCGCAUGAUCAGGAACAUGAGGUGCCUAAGAUGGUAGCUCGGUGAAUGAUGGCUGAGAUG
This 268-nucleotide long non-coding RNA is filed under the name Vitis vinifera (wine grape). RNAcentral describes it as "long non-coding RNA (VVIN_LNC005076)". Lineage: Eukaryota; Viridiplantae; Streptophyta; Magnoliopsida; Vitales; Vitaceae. The record is from RNAcentral.